UACGUAGGGGGCAAGCGUUGUCCGGAAUCAUUGGGCGUAAAGAGCGCGUAGGCGGUCCGGUAAGUCGGCUGUGAAAGUCCAGGGCUCAACCCUGGGAUGCCGGUCGAUACUGCCGGACUAGAGUUCGGAAGAGGCGAGUGGAAUUCCCGGUGUAGCGGUGAAAUGCGCAGAUAUCGGGAGGAACACCUAUGGCGAAGGCAGCUCGCUGGGACGUUACUGACGCUGAGACGCGAAAGCGUGGGGAGCGAACAGG
Molecule: ribosomal RNA, 253 nt
Filed under: uncultured bacterium
Lineage: Bacteria
Description: partial 16S ribosomal RNA
Rfam family: Bacterial small subunit ribosomal RNA
Source: RNAcentral